GGCUCAGGAUGAACGCUAGCUACAGGCUUAACACAUGCAAGGUCGAGGGGAAACGAUAUUGGAAGCUUGCUUCUGAUAGGCGUCGACCGGCGCACGGGUGAGUAACGCGUAUCCAACCUGCCCAUCACUUGGGGAUAACCUUGUGAAAGUAAGACUAAUACCCAAUGACGUCUCUAGAAGACAUCUGAAAGAGAUUAAAGAUUUAUCGGUGAUGGAUGGGGAUGCGUCUGAUUAGCUUGUUGGCGGGGUAACGGCCCACCAAGGCGACGAUCAGUAGGGGUUCUGAGAGGAAGGUCCCCCACAUUGGAACUGAGACACGGUCCAAACUCCUACGGGAGGCAGCAGUGAGGAAUAUUGGUCAAUGGACGAGAGUCUGAACCAGCCAAGUAGCGUGCAGGAUGACGGCCCUAUGGGUUGUAAACUGCUUUUAUAAGGGAAUAAAGUGGGAGUCGUGACUCUUUUUGCAUGUACCUUAUGAAUAAGGACCGGCUAAUUCCGUG
Molecule: ribosomal RNA, 500 nt
Filed under: uncultured bacterium
Lineage: Bacteria
Description: bacterial SSU rRNA
Rfam family: Bacterial small subunit ribosomal RNA
Source: RNAcentral